UCCUACGGGACGCAGCAGUGGGGAAUAUUGCCCAAUGGGGGAAACCCUGAUGCAGCGACGCCGCGUGAAGGAAGAAGUAUUUCGGUAUGUAAACUUCUAUCAGCAGGGAAGAAAGUGACGGUACCUGACUAAGAAGCCCCGGCUAACUACGUGCCAGCAGCCGCGGUAAUACGUAGGGGGCAAGCGUUAUCCGGAUUCACUGGGUGUAAAGGGAGCGUAGACGGCGACGCAAGUCUGGAGUGAAAGCCCGGGGCCCAACCCCGGGACUGCUCUGGAAACUGCGUCGCUGUAGUACGGGAGGGGCA
Molecule: ribosomal RNA, 305 nt
Filed under: uncultured bacterium
Lineage: Bacteria
Description: bacterial SSU rRNA
Rfam family: Bacterial small subunit ribosomal RNA
Source: RNAcentral